CAACCCCAAAUGUCAAAGCUAGUGGGGUAAGAGCUGCAUGUACAUUGCUGGCUUUGACCUGCUUGGCCUUUCCUGAUUAUUUACAUUUAUUGUGCCUGUCCGUGCAGGCCAUUGGAUUUAGAAUGCGUUUUCUCUCAGAGGCAGGUCCAGAGAGCAUCAGAAAUGCACCAGCCUUCACAAGUGCUCAAGAGGAGACAGACAGUUUACACAGAAAGACUCAUCUGAAAGGAAUGUGGAGGUCAGAGAAAAGUGAUGGGAAAGUUACCACAGCCUGCAAAUGAGAAAUGAUGAGAGCCUGACUGGGGUAGAAACAAUAGAACAAGCUGAUAGAUUGGAGCAGACUGUGAGAAUGAAGAAUAAGGGACUGUUCUAAAUUUACUGGACUUCAAUAAACUGAAGGGAGGAACUUCAACGAACCGAAAUGGAGGAGUCCCUAGAAUGCAGGAUUAAAGCUCCCUGCUCCCUGGAACUUAAGCAUGGCCAUGUGACUUACAUUUGGUUAAUGAAAUAUUUAAGAGCUGAGGUAUGUGAUUCCGAUUGUUCUCCCAUCUUUUUCUCUCCUUGCCUGGGUCAUUGCAGAAUUACUUGUUGAUAAGGCUGAGCCAACACAUGUAGUACUGGUGUUUUGGAAAGAUUAAGCCAUUUCGAUUUUGGUAUCAUUUAUUACCAAAGCUUACUUUUCUUACCAUGAAUGAUUCACAAAGUCAAUGAAGGAAAAAGGGUUAACAUAAGUCAUUGUUUCUCGGAUAAGCUUGUUAAGAAAAGUUAGUCUUAGCUAUGGUUAAUAGAAAUUAACUCUAGGGUUGGCAGGGAGUAGUUUAAAUAUAAUAUCCUAAGACCUGCGGUGAACUCAUGUUUUGGCUGAGCUGGCUCUGAUAGCAGAAAGGAGCAGAGAAAGCGAGGUAAGUUAAAGCCACUGCCGCAGUUCUGGGGAGAAUGCCAUCUAGUCACUGUAGUAUAAAGAGGUCCGGUUUCCAGGAAGCACAACAAGAAUGCAACCACCUAUAGGAAGGUGAACCAAAUUUGUAGUAGAAAAAUGAGACAGAAACCCAAGUGUGAACCUGGUAAAUAUGGUAUUGUUGGAGCCACAUGCUGUAGUUUAAUGGAAUGAAAAUGCUGAACUGUACUAUCUUUUAGAAUAAAAUACUAAAAGUGUUGCAUUGUAUUCUAAAAACUCUAGACUCAAACUGUUAGACAAAUGCAACCCAAAUUGCCUGAGCAAGUAGUCAUAAAAUUAGCUUAAUUUAGUAUGCCUUUCACUUUUGAAAUUUCAUUUGGUUUUGAUAAAAUUUUAGUAAUUACAAAUAUUGCACUAUAGUAAUUAGACAUGAAAUAGUAUAGCUUGAAAGGGAGAAACUGGGUCCUGCAAUAAAUGAUCAUGUCACAAAAAUUAUUAGUUUUAUAUUACAGUGAUAUUGAAAGCUUGAAGAAAAAAAAUCCUUAGGGAUUUUUAUUUGUCUGUCAGGAAGAAUAAAUUGAUGGAGCAAAUCAUGCCACUUAAAGAUUAUGCUGUAGCAAGAAUAUUAUU
Molecule: long non-coding RNA, 1528 nt
Filed under: Callithrix jacchus (white-tufted-ear marmoset)
Lineage: Eukaryota; Metazoa; Chordata; Mammalia; Primates; Cebidae
Description: lncRNA (ENSCJAG00000054612.2)
Source: RNAcentral